Molecule: ribosomal RNA, 253 nt
Filed under: uncultured bacterium
Lineage: Bacteria
Description: partial 16S ribosomal RNA
Rfam family: Bacterial small subunit ribosomal RNA
Source: RNAcentral
GACGUAGGGCGCGAGCGUUGUCCGGAUUUAUUGGGCGUAAAGAGCGUGUAGGCGGCCUUACAGGUCAGCUGUGAAAACUCGAGGCUCAACCUCGAGACGUCGGUUGAAACCGUAAGGCUAGAGUCCGGAAGAGGAGAGUGGAAUUCCCGGUGUAGCGGUGAAAUGCGCAGAUAUCGGGAAGAACACCCGUGGCGAAGGCGGCUCUCCGGGACGGUACUGACGCUGAGACGCGAAAGCGUGGGGAGCGAACAGG